CAUAGAUUAGAUAAGAGGGCAACAGUCAGACCGUCCAAUCAAAGAACUCUAAUCCAUAUCCCUUGCAAAAAGAUUCCAUCCACUCAAACACAGAUAAAUCUCAAACAUGCUGUACUCAAUGCCAGAUCGUUAAAAAACAAGUCCUUUUUAAUAAAUAGUUUUAUUUCUUCUUAUAAUCUAGAUUUUAUGUUUUUAACUGAAACAUGGCUUGACAAAAACACUGGUAACGCAGUUUUGAUUGAGUGUAGCCCAUCAAAUUUCAAUUUUGUGUCUGAAACACGCCAAAAUCAGAGGGGCGGGGGUGUCUGUGCAAUAUUUAGGGACAAUAUAGUCAUCCACAAAUUGUCAUUUGGGGUUUUUGUAUCAUUUGAGUAUGUGUCUUUCAAAAUGGAGAUAAAACAAUCUUCCAUUCUUUAUAUGACUAUUUACAAACCACCACAGAAUUGUUUUAUCGAAGACUUCACUGAAUUACUUUCAUUUAUAUGCACUGAUUUUGAUUGUUUAGUAAUUUCAGGUGAUUUUAAUGUGCAUGUGGAUGUGACCAAUGACAGGCAUGCAAAAGAACUUAAUGCUGUUCUUGAAAUGUUUGGUUUAACUCAGCACGUGAGUGAGGCGACCCACAACAAAGGUCACACUCUAGAUCUAGUUAUUACAAAAGGUGUUAAUAUAUCAAAUGUGAAUGUUGUUGAUGUUGCUUUAUCUGAUCAUUUUUGUGUCUUUUUUGACUUGUCUGUUGCACCCAAACCAGUGGUUGGGCCUGGAGUUAUUCAGAGAAGACACAUAAAUGAUACAACAAGGACACAGUUUAUGGAAAUGAUCAGAUUUGAAAAUCCUCCAUGUUCAAAUGUUGAUAAUCUGUUGGACUCUUAUACAUCAAGCGUCUUAAAUGUUUUGGAUACUAUUGCUCCUAUCAAGGUAAAAGUGGUUAACAAUAGACAAAAGGCACCUUGGAGAAGUGAAGAUUCGGUCAGGGCACAGAAAAGGGAGUGCCGAAAAGCCGAAAGGAAAUGGCGUAAGUCAAAGCUCCAGGUUCAUUGUGAGAUAUACAAAGAGUUCAACCAGAUUUUGCGUGGAGAAAGGGAGAAAUACUUCUCUAAAAUCAUCGCAAACUGCAAAAACAAUUCUCGUGUUCUGUUUUCCACAGUAAACAGAUUAACUAACCCUCCAGUUUCACUGCCCUUAGAACUAAUCUCUACAUCUAAGUGCAAUGAGUUUGCAAUAUAUUUUUAUGACAAAGUCCAAGGCAUAAAAAAUGCCAUAAUUUCCACAACACAAAUACCAACCCUGCCACCAGCUAGACACCUUGAGCUGACACAUUUCACUCCUGUUACUGACAAAACAAUCGAAGAGAUUAUCUCCGGUCUGAGUUCAUGUACAUGCUGCCUUGAUGAAUUACCCACUAGAUUUCUGAAGUCUGUGCUGACCAGCUUGUUACCACAACUUGUUCAGUUAGUUAACAUCUCAUUUGAGACUGGAGCAUUUCCAAAGGCCUUGAAAACCGCGGUCAUUAAGCCUCUUCUAAAGAAGAGCAGCCUUGAUCCCAAGGUACUGAACAACUACCGGCCCAUAUCAAACCUACCGUUCUUAGGAAAAGUUCUAGAGAAAGUAAUAUAUCAACAGCUCACUUACUUUCUCCUAUCUAACAAUGUGUUUGAUCCUUUCCAGUCAGGAUUUAGGCCCCAC
Molecule: long non-coding RNA, 1683 nt
Organism: Neogobius melanostomus (round goby)
Lineage: Eukaryota; Metazoa; Chordata; Actinopteri; Gobiiformes; Gobiidae
Source: Ensembl